This 718-nucleotide long non-coding RNA is filed under the name Pelobates cultripes (western spadefoot toad). The record is from RNAcentral. Lineage: Eukaryota; Metazoa; Chordata; Amphibia; Anura; Pelobatidae.
AUGACAGCCAAAUAACCUAGCAAAUAACUGUUUUAUUAGUUGUUGAAUACUAGCGUUUUGGCCAAGAAUAGUUGGAGAUUUGGAGGUUUUAGUUUAAGAUUGCUUUUAUAUUGUGUGUAUCCGUGUUUCCUAGGAGGGAGACAGAGUGUGUAGUUGUGUGCCCAUAAAUGUGAUUUCUGUAUUGGCAUAUCUGCUGGGUACCCAUUAUGUGUUUCUACAAAGAUAUUGCUUUGUGAGAUGACGUGUAAUAUUACAUUGGAUGCUGAGUAUGAGUUAUAUGGUUUGAAAUGAAUUGGUGAUUAUGAGCUUAGUACUUCAGUAAGAUGUGCUAAAAUCUGGAACAAGGUGGAAGCUGAAAUGUUGGGAUUAUGGAAGAAUAAGCAGUCUAUAUUCACUGCUUUGGCAUAUAAGCAGGAUGCAAAGGAAGAGAUUGGUAAUAUGAUUUUUGUAAAUAAAUUUUACAAGUGUUGGAAGGAUGAGGCAGGUUUGAUGUCUGGAGAUGAUAUAGAUCUUUUUAAAAUACAGUCAUGCCUUGGUAAUAUGUUGCCACAGUAUUAUUUGCUUGUGAAACAAUUGAUUUCAGACUGGGCCAAUUUGGAUAGCUCAGAUUUUCUUACCAAGGUUAUAGAAAAGGAAAAUGCAGGUUGUUUUGAAUUAAGAAAAGAUUUAGGAAAGUAAGGUUGCUUAUUAUGCUCAGGGAUUGCAACAUAUUAUGUCC